GACCAAAAGAGCAGGUUCAGUUUGUUCUGCUGGAGAACGUCGUUCCAGCACCGCGUUCUCUCCAGACACCAGGAGACACAAACUUUAGAACUUUAACAAACAUCUUUAGGGUUUCUUCAGGGCCUCUUCAGGGUUUCUAAAAGAACUUCCUUACCGACAUAUUUGGCCCAGAAGUCAUUCUGGAAAAAAAACAGAAAAUCCGAGAUUUUAGAACAACUUCAGAAUGGAUCAAAAUGUUUUAGUCUAUCAGAAAGUGAACAGACCAGGGUUCUGGUUAGAACGUUAGUCUGUCUGUUCUACGUGUUGGAUUUAGUUUCAGGUCAGUCAAUAAAAUCCACCAAGAAAUGCUCCAAAACCUCAACAUUCAGUUGUGUGUUUCUAACCUACAGAAGAUCUGAGAGCGGGACUUAGUUAAACCUGGUUCUACUUAGACGUUAUUAAUGGGACUAAAAUCCUGAGAUCUGUUUGAUUGGUUCUUUGUGUCCUGCUGGGUUUGAUGUGAGGGUGGAGGAGGUUCCAAAAGUGUUCUGUUAGUGUGGUUUUACGUGUCCUGUUAGUGUGGUUCUAUGUCUUCUGGAAGGUUCCUAAAGUGUUCUGUUAGUGUGGUUCUACGUGUUCUUCCUUGUUUCUACCGUCUUCUCUCUGCUUUCAAAGAUCUCCCGGGCUUCCUCCCAGUCGCAGCGCUCCUCCACGCAUUCUCUCUCUAGGUUUCCUACUUUCAUCUCCUCCAAGAAGCUGUUGGCUCUCCUGGACCGGAUCAGAACCUGGCUGGCUGC
This is a long non-coding RNA of Acanthochromis polyacanthus (spiny chromis), 776 nucleotides long. RefSeq lists it as uncharacterized. The record is from RefSeq and is a predicted model, not a curated record. The transcript is spliced from 2 exons. Lineage: Eukaryota; Metazoa; Chordata; Actinopteri; Pomacentridae.